This is an RNA transcript of Culex pipiens pallens (northern house mosquito), 2408 nucleotides long. RefSeq lists it as uncharacterized. NCBI's taxonomy places the organism in Eukaryota, Metazoa, Arthropoda, Insecta, Diptera, Culicidae. The record is from RefSeq and is a predicted model, not a curated record. The transcript is spliced from 5 exons.
CCAACCGGCCAAAAUCCUUGCGAAGCUCAACAGCAACGAAAACUGGUUCAAUCCGGUUGCAAUCAAGUUAAUACAAGACCAACUUGAAAGAACUGUCAAACUGCUUGCGUCGACGAAAAUCGUGACGUCAAAUUGAAGGAAAAUCGAUAGGAAAAACAAUGUCGGGCUUGUCGAGUGUUUGUCGCACGUUUGUCGUCCUUUCGACCAAUCGAUAUUGUUGAUUUAGCUCGUAGCUGCCCUGUUUGAAAAAUGUCGCACGUCGUACAAGCUGUCGCGCGGUUUUGAUUUUACCGUUUCGAUAUCGAUUGGUCGAAAGGACGACAAACGUACGACAAACACUCGACAUGCCCGACAUUGUUUUUUCCAUCGAUUUUCCUUCAAUUCGACGUCACGAUUUCCGUCGACGCAAACAGUUUGACAGUUCUCUUCAGCUGGUCUUGUUUGGACUUGAUUGCAACCGAAUCGAACCAGUUAUUGUUGAUGUUGGGCUUCGGAAGGAUUUUGACCGGUUGAUAGAUAUUCAGAAUUCUGUCUUCGUGGCGGUGGAGGAGGAGGACGAGACGCAUGAAUCCGGCGGGCCAGGUCUUCGUGGCGGAAGACGGGACCGGAAGGAACCGAGCUUAUGGAGGAUAUGGUUCAUUCCAAAGGAGGAGGGAAUGAAACACCGAGCGUCAAAAGUUCUACCCAAGGUAACCAAAAAUGUUCCAAUCUGAUCCUGCUAACAAACCAGCGUCUUUGUGUUGUCCCACGUAGUUUGUUGAACGGAAGCUGUAACGGCCGCAAAAACAUCUGCUCCGGAAGUGCGUAAACCGACGUUGUCCCGUACUCCGGUGGCCAUCAAUCCAUGGGACAUAAACGGUGGAGCCGCACCCCGCCGUAUCUGCGGCUAGUCGGAGAGCAAUAGUCAAUCUUGAUCAAGAUGCUGCCUCGCACGAUGGCGUCGGCUCGAAAAGAUGGCUGGCAAAUUCCGGACCCGGAAGACAACGCCAAAAACUUCCGGCCAAAAUGCCGAGCGAUUAGCUGAAAGACCAACUGGAAGAAAACGCCAAAAACUAUGUGGAGAUCGCGACACACAAGUAAAAUUAAUGAAUGUAUUUUAAAUCGAGUGAAAAAGUGAAAUUUACAAUAAAAAUACAUCUAAAAAAAAAUAAAAAAAAAUAAAUAUCUAAUUUUUACUGCAACAUAACCUAAAAACCCGAAAUGACAUCACACGACAAAGGCACGACAUCCUAAAUAACAAAACCGUGCGUCGUCGGUCGAAUGUCGUACGACAAUGUCGUACAAUUUCGAUCAUCGAUCGCACGACAAAUACGACAUUUUGGUGCAAAAACGUAUGACAUUCGCGCGAAAGUCGCACGACAUUGUCGUGCGACGUCGUACGAUUGCACGGACGACAAACGACGGACGUCCGACGAACUUUUCAGUCAGGGUGGAUCCCUGUUUGAAAAAUGUCGCACGUCGUACGAGUUGUCGCACGGUUUUGAUUUUACCGUUUCGAUAUCGAUUGGUCGAAAGGACGACAAACGUGCGACAAACACUCGACAUGCUCGACAUUGUUUUUUCCAUCGAUUUUCCUUCAAUUCGACGUCGAUUAUCGUCGACGCAAACAGUUUGACAGUUCUCUUCAGUUGAUCUUGUUCGGACUUGAUCAAAUCAGAAAAACAAUAUUGUUGUAAAGGUUCGUGAGGAUUUUGGCUGGUUGAUUGACUUCCUGAUUUCAGCCUUCGCGACGGUGGAAGAGAACGUGAAACAUCGUUAACCCGGCGGAUCAUGCCGGAAGAUGGGACGGGAAGGAACCGGUCUGCGAUCGAAAGCGGAUUGGGAUCUGUAUCAAACAGUCUCCAAACAGGACAAUGAAAGUGUUGGUGGUGUUUGAUUUUUAGAGAAUGUCAAAAUCGCCAUUAUCAAUACUAAGACCUGGAAAAAAAGAACAAACUUGCGGCCGAGUACAACCUCUGAGUGAAAGCGAUGGAGGUUAACGAACUACUCACGGGGCAGCACACGAAUUCUACCGGAUUGGCCAUCAUCAAGCGAAAUUUGGAAAAUUGUGACUGCAGUGAUAGUGAAUAUUUGGAAAACAAAGUGCCAGGCCAGUGAAAACUAAUAGAUAUCAAUAAAAAUCAGCAAAACAACAAAUAAAAUGAAUUUUAUUUCGAAAAUAACCUAAAAAUUCCGAAAUGACAGCACACGACAAUAGCACGACAUCCUAAAUAACAAAACCGUGCGACGUCGGUCGAAUGUCGUACGACAAUGUCGAACAAUUUCGAUGAUCGAUCGCACGACAAAUACGACAUUUUGGUGCAAAAACGUAUGACAUUCGUGCGAAUGUCGCACGACAUUGUCGUGCGACGUCGUACGAUUGCACGUACGACAAACGACGGACGUCGGACGGACUUUUCAGUCAGGGA